Molecule: long non-coding RNA, 5334 nt
Filed under: Brassica napus (rape)
Lineage: Eukaryota; Viridiplantae; Streptophyta; Magnoliopsida; Brassicales; Brassicaceae
Description: long non-coding RNA (BNAP_LNC021623)
Source: RNAcentral
AAAGGAGCUGAGCUGGCAAGUGAGAAGGGAGCUGAGGAGCUUAAGUGACACGUGGAAAUCAUCAGAAGAAAGAUGGAUGAGUAUAAAUAGAUUUGUAGAGUGGCAGUUAGAGAGGAUCGAUCAUUUUACAAUAAUAUUGAUCUAAGCGUAUGAGCUUGAUCCUUACUCGUAUGAGAGUGAGAGAUUCGAUCGUAUGAGAUCGUCUCUAUUGUUGUAAUUUGAUUGAGCAAACCUUUAUAAGAAGUAUUCAGUUGAGUAUAGACUUUUAUACUUAACCAUUGGUGCGGUGAGCAGGUUCGUUACGACGCGAAGGUGGGAAUCGAGCUGAUCGGAGCUUGAUUUGAGCUGCGGAGAGUAGUUCCGGCGAAGAGAAGUUUACCGGCGAAAUCGUAAGAAUGUCGAAGGCGAAAGUUGGGGAGCCCAGUCCGUCGCGAGACGAAACGGAGGAGGAAACCGAUAACGAGUUGCAAGAUAUGGAUCUAGAGUUCUUGAAAGGAGGCUACAUUCGAUUGAAUCGCGCAAGAAAAGAAGCAGAUGCUCGAUUCGAGGAGCUCAAUCAACGACUCGGUUCUAUCUUACAGAUCUUGGAGAAGUCAAACAAUCGCAACGACGAUCGUCCUCAUCACGAUCCAAGAUCAUCUAAUCCUCAGGUAUAUCACUCGAACUGGGAACGAAAUCCGGAGGAACGAGUGCUAGGUUAUCGAUCUGGUGAUAUGAAUCUUGCAAACAGAGAAUCGAUGCUGCGAAAGAUUGAAAUGCCACUGUUCUCCGGGAAGCAACCUUACGUUUGGAUUACGGAGGUCGAACGUUGGUUUAGUAUUGGGAAGUAUGAUGACACAGAAAGGUUGGAAUUGGUGGGGCUGAGUCUGGAAGGAAAGGUGAAGAAAUGGUUUGGAUGGGAGUUGAAAAGAAGAGGAUUCAGAGAUUGGAGGGAGUUCAAAGAGAAAUUGGUAUUGAGAUUUGCUGAAUCUAUUGAAGAAGAACCAGAAAUACGCUUGUUUUCUAUCAAACAGACGGGGUCUGUAAGCGAUUACAUCUCGGAGUUUGAAGAAUUGUCAGGGUUGGUUAAAGGAUUGGAUGAUAAUCUUUUGAUCAAGAUUUUUUACACGGGGCUCAACCAAGAGAUGAAGGAAGUGAUAAGAAUAAAGGAGCCAGUGGGAUUGGAAAAUCAUAUUGCUGCUGUGUUGAGAAUGGAGUCUAGUGCCUUUUGCAAGGUGGUGAGUGAAGCAACUAAACAUGACAAGAUCGAGCACAAGCAGCAUCAACACAACCCACUAAGGUCUUCGUCCCAUUACAAUUCUCACAGAAGAUAUGUUGAUAGUGAGAAUAAGUUUACGAGUGCGGGAGGAUCUUCUUCUACGACCGCUCAACAAAAGAAGGAGAGUGAGAAUAGCAGUAGUAAUGAGAGUAAAGUGAAGAAAUACACUAAUGAAGAAUUGGACAGGAUGCGUAAAGAAUUCAUUUGUUUCAAAUGUGGAGCUAAGGGAUGGACAAGAGCUCACAAAUGUCCAAAUAAAGAUGUAAGAGUGAUGACUACACUCAACGGGUUACAAAUGGAAGUCGUGGAGGAUCAAGAGGACGACGGAGAAGAGUUCUUCUUUGAGGCUCAGAUGCAAGAGUUAUGCACAUUGUCAUUAAACUCGUAUUUGGGUGUUGGUUCGCCAAAGACCACCAAGUUAUAUGGAAAGAUUCAGAAGACUGAUGUGAUAGUGAUGCUAGACAGUGGGGCAUCUCACAAUUUCAUUACUCCAUCGAUUGUGACGAAACUUAAGUUGAAAGUUUGUGCAGAAACAAGUUUCGACAUCUUGCUAGGAAAUGGAGCCUCAGUCAACAGUUUGGGCGUGUGCAGAGAGGUUUCGUUCCAACUAGCAGAUGCGACUUUCACAUCAGAUUUUAUAGCUUUGGAACUUGGAAUGGUUGAUGUUAUUUUAGGCAUUCAAUGGCUCGAGACCUUAGGAAGAUGUGAGGUGGAUUGGAAGGAACAAGAACUGUCCUUUAUUCAUGGAGGAGUUAAAGUGACAUUGUUCGGGGAUCCAUCACUCCACACUUCCAAGCUCUCUAUGAAGUCUUUGUCUCCUAUUUCUACUAAGGUAGUAAAAGGAAGAGAAGAGCUUUUCACUAUCUCUAGUGGGGUAACAUCAACCGAUCCUAUGAUUCCGGAUAAGCUGUUAGACGUACUGGCUGAGUUUGAUCAGGUGUUUGCAUUGCCGACGGCUUUGCCUCCUUUUAGAGGAAAGAAUCAUGCGAUCAAUCUCAAACCAGGGGUGACUGCUAUCUCUGUGAGACCAUAUCGUUACCCACACAACACUAAGGUGGUGAUGGAACAAAUGGUCUGCGAAAUGUUGGAAGCAGGGAUAAUCAGAGAGAGCACAAGUCCGUUUUCAAGUCCAGUUUUGUUGGUAAAAAAGAAAGACGGAUCAUGGAGGUUUUGUAUUGAUUACAGGGCAUUGAACAAGGCUACGAUACCGGAUAAAUUCCCAAUUCCUGUAAUUGAUCAACUAUUGGAUGAGUUGUAUGGCGCCUCCGUUUUUUCUAAGCUGGACUUACGCUCGGGCUAUCAUCAAAUCCGUAUGCAAGAAGAAGACAUCCCAAAGACUGCUUUCAGGACAGUAGAAGGGCAUUAUGAGUUCCUAGUGAUGCCAUUUGGACUCACAAAUGCGCCGGCUACAUUCCAAGCAUUGAUGAACUCCAUUUUCAAGCCAUAUCUUCGAAAAUUCGUUCUCGUAUUCUUUGAUGAUGUGCUAAUAUACAGUAAGACUGUCGAGGAACACGCUGAACAUUUACGGCUGGUACUUUCAGUGUUACAGGAGCAUAAGUUGCUGGCUAACCGUAAGAAGUGUUCGUUUGGUCUUCAGCAGAUUGAGUAUUUGGGUCAUAUCAUAUCCAAGAACGGCGUAGCGACUGAUGCGAUCAAAACCCAGUGUAUGAAAGAGUGGCCAUUGCCGAAAUCAGUGAAACAGUUGAGAGGAUUUUUGGGACUAACAGGCUAUUACAGGCAUUAUGUGAAAGGUUAUGGUUCGAUCGCAAGACCAUUGACAGAAUUACUAAAAAAGGACGGUUUUCAGUGGUCUAAAGAAGCAGAGUUGGCGUUUGAUUCACUUAAGAAAGCAAUGGUAGAAGCACCGGUUCUAGCUUUACCAAACUUUGAAAAACCUUUUGUUAUUGAGUCGGAUGCAUCAGGCUUUGGCGUAGGGGCUGUAUUGAUGCAGGAUGGUAAACCAAUUGCGUUCUUCAGUCACGGUUUAACAGAGAGAGAGCAGAUGAAACCAGCUUAUGAACGCGAGCUGAUGGCAGUGGUUUUGGCGGUUCAGAAAUGGAAGCACUACUUGUUGGGGCGUCAGUUUGUGGUUCAUACAGAUCAUCGAAGCUUAAAAUACCUGUUGGAACAGAAGGAGGUAAAUAUGGAAUAUCAUCGCUGGCUGACGAAGUUAUUGGGCUUUGAUUUUAUCAUCGUGUACAAGCCAGGGUGUGAUAAUAAGGCAGCGGAUGGUUUAUCAAGGAUUGAGAGGAACGUGGUGAGAGAGAUGAGUUCGCUGUUGUUGGCUCUUACUAUACCAGCAGCACUUCAAGUGGAGGAUAUAUAUAAGGAGAUUGAAGCGUGUGUAGAGAUUCAGAAGAAAAUUCAGUGGAUUAAGGAAGGCAAAAUUGUUAAUGACAAGUUUAGAGUGAUUGAUGGAAAGCUCUGGUACAAACGCAGAUUGGUCAUACCAAAGGAUUCAGCCUCCAUUCCACUACUGUUAUCAGAAUAUCACGAUGGUCAACAAGGAGGACACUCAGGAGUUCUAAAAACAGUUAAGCGGAUUCAGUCGAUGUUUCAUUGGGAGGGUCUGUAUCAGAGGGUGCAGAAGUAUGUUUCUGAGUGUAACAUUUGCCAAACUCACAAAUAUUCUACACUAGCACCAGCAGGAUUGUUGCAGCCAUUACCCAUUCCGAAUCGUAUUUGGGAAGAUGUGUCAAUGGAUUUCGUGGAAGGGCUUCCAGGUUCUCAAGGGGUUAAUGUGAUCAUGGUGGUGGUUGAUCGGCUUAGCAAAUAUGCUCACUUCGUUGGACUGAAACACCCGUUUACUGCGGUAGAGGUGGCUUCAAAAUUCGUUUCUGAGGUUGUUAAGCAUCAUGGUUUUCCGCGUUCAAUUGUCUCUGACAGAGAUCGAGUGUUCUUGAGUUCGUUUUGGAAGGAUUUGUUCAGAGCUUCGGGAACUAAACUCAAGUACAGCACAGCUUUUCACCCACAAACGGAUGGCCAAACGGAAGUGUUAAACAGAUGUAUGGAGACGUAUCUCAGGUGUUUUGCGUCCAGUCAUCCAAGAACGUGGCACAAAUUUUUAUCUUGGGCUGAACUAUGGUACAAUACAUCUUUUCAUACAGCUUUGAAAGCUACUCCUUUUCAAGUGGUUUAUGGUAGGGAGCCACCAGCUAUUGUUCGUUUUGAAGAAGGUUCAACGAACAAUUAUGAUUUGGAGAUGGCUUUACGCGAACGUGAUGCGAUGUUGGUUCAGAUUCAGCAGCAUUUGCUGCGUGCUCAACAUUUGAUGAAAGCAAGUGCGGAUAAGCAUCGUAGAGAGUUGAGUUUUGCAGUAGGGGAUUGGGUAUAUUUGAAGCUAAAACCAUUCAGGCAACACACUGUGGUCCGUCGUUACUGUCAAAAGCUGGCAGCCAAAUAUUUUGGGCCUUAUGAGAUCAGUGAGCGCAUUGGGAAGGUUGCUUAUCGAUUAAAGUUACCAGACGAGGCUCGUAUUCAUCCUGUGUUUCAUAUCUCGCAAUUGAAGGCAGCGCUGGGACAUGGACAGUUUGUGCAAGCCAUUCCUCCUGUUUGUUCUGAUUUGACUGAUAUGGUUCUGCAACCAGAGAACAUCGUUGCAUCACGAGUCACGGAGGCUGGCAAGGAAGAGUUGUUGGUGAAAUGGAGGGAUCGUUUGGAUCAUGACAAUACGUGGAUGUUGCUGGAGGAGUUUAGGCUGCAAUUUCCGUCAUACAAGCUUGAGGGCAAGCUUAAUUUCAAAGGGGGGAGUAUUGAUAGGUAUAAACAUACUUAUUCGAGAAGAAGGUGGAAAGGAGCUGAGCUGGCAAGUGAGAAGGGAGCUGAGGAGCUUAAGUGACACGUGGAAAUCAUCAGAAGAAAGAUGGAUGAGUAUAAAUAGAUUUGUAGAGUGGCAGUUAGAGAGGAUCGAUCAUUUUACAAUAAUAUUGAUCUAAGCGUAUGAGCUUGAUCCUUACUCGUAUGAGAGUGAGAGAUUCGAUCGUAUGAGAUCGUCUCUAUUGUUGUAAUUUGAUUGAGCAAACCUUUAUAAGAAGUAUUCAGUUGAGUAUAGACUUUUAUACUUAACAAAGACUUAC